Molecule: ribosomal RNA, 303 nt
Filed under: uncultured bacterium
Lineage: Bacteria
Description: partial 16S ribosomal RNA
Rfam family: Bacterial small subunit ribosomal RNA
Source: RNAcentral
AGCAGUAGCCACGGUAAUACGAAGGGUGCAAGCGUUAAUCGGAAUUACUGGGCGUAAAGCGUGCGUAGGCGGUGAGUUAAGUCUGCUGUGAAAUCCCCGGGCUCAACCUGGGAAUGGCAGUGGAUACUGGCUCGCUAGAGUGUGUCAGAGGAUGGUGGAAUUCCCGGUGUAGCGGUGAAAUGCGUAGAGAUCGGGAGGAACAUCAGUGGCGAAGGCGGCCAUCUGGGACAACACUGACGCUGAGGCACGAAAGCGUGGGGAGCAAACAGGAUUAGAUACCCCAGUAGUCCCUGUCUCUUAUAC